Molecule: ribosomal RNA, 253 nt
Filed under: uncultured bacterium
Lineage: Bacteria
Description: partial 16S ribosomal RNA
Rfam family: Bacterial small subunit ribosomal RNA
Source: RNAcentral
UACAGAGGGUGCGAGCGUUAAUCGGAAUUACUGGGCGUAAAGGGCGCGUAGGCGGCCCUCUAAGUCAGACGUGAAAUCCCUCGGCUCAACCGGGGAACUGCGUCUGAGACUGGAAGGCUUGAAUUCGGGAGAGGGAUGUGGAAUUCCAGGUGUAGCGGUGAAAUGCGUAGAUAUCUGGAGGAACACCGGUGGCGAAGGCGGCAUCCUGGACCGAGAUUGACGCUGAUGCGCGAAAGCCAGGGGAGCAAACGGG